RNAcentral lists this non-coding RNA (643 nucleotides) under Lacrimispora celerecrescens. RNAcentral's name for it is "bacterial LSU rRNA". It matches the Rfam family "Bacterial large subunit ribosomal RNA", at positions 64 to 715 of the family's 2925-position model. The record is from RNAcentral. Lineage: Bacteria; Bacillati; Bacillota; Clostridia; Lachnospirales; Lachnospiraceae.
AGCUGCGAAAAGCUUCGGGGAGGAGCAAAUAUCCUUUGAUCCGGAGAUAUACUGGAAUGGGAACCCAACUGAGCAAACCUCAGUUGUCGUAUGGUGAAUACAUAGCCAUACGUCGGGAACCCGGGGAACUGAAACAUCUAAGUACCCGGAGGAAAAGAAAGAAAACUCGAUUUCCAAAGUAGCGGCGAGCGAAAUGGAAGGAGCCUAAACCAGUAUGCGUGCAUACUGGGGUUAUGGACUGCAAUAAGUGAGACGAUUUGUUACCAGAACGGUCCUGGAAAGACCGGCCAUAGAAAGUGAAAGCCUUGUAUGGGAAAACAAUAGUCAGCGAGCAGGAUCCAAAGUACCACGAGACACGAGAAACCUUGUGGGAAUUCGGGGGGACCACCCCCCAAGGCUAAAUACUACUUAGUGACCGAUAGCGCAUAGUACUGUGAAGGAAAGGUGAAAAGGACCCCGGGAGGGGAGUGAAAAAGAACCUGAAACCCUGUGUUUACAAGCUGUGGAACCACGUUUAAGGUGGAACCGCGUACUUUUUGUAGAACGGUCCGGCGAGUUACCGUUACUGGCAAGGUUAAGACUAAGGUGUGGAGCGAAGGGAAACCAAGUCUUAAUAGGGCGAAUGAGUCAGUAAGGUAAGACC